This 497-nucleotide ribosomal RNA is filed under the name uncultured bacterium. RNAcentral's name for it is "partial 16S ribosomal RNA". It matches the Rfam family "Bacterial small subunit ribosomal RNA", at positions 28 to 507 of the family's 1533-position model. The record is from RNAcentral.
GAUGAACGCUGGCGGCGUGCCCAAUACAUGCAAGUCGAGCGAACAGACGAGGAGCUUGCUCCUCUGACGUUAGCGGCGGACGGGUGAGUAACACGUGGAUAACCUACCUAUAAGACUGGGAUAACUUCGGGAAACCGGAGCUAAUACCGGAUAAUAUAUUGAACCGCAUGGUUCAAUAGUGAAAGACGGUUUUGCUGUCACUUAUAGAUGGAUCCGCGCCGCAUUAGCUAGUUGGUAAGGUAACGGCUUACCAAGGCAACGAUGCGUAGCCGACCUGAGAGGGUGAUCGGCCACACUGGAACUGAGACACGGUCCAGACUCCUACGGGAGGCAGCAGUAGGGAAUCUUCCGCAAUGGGCGAAAGCCUGACGGAGCAACGCCGCGUGAGUGAUGAAGGUCUUCGGAUCGUAAAACUCUGUUAUUAGGGAAGAACAAAUGUGUAAGUAACUAUGCACGUCUUGACGGUACCUAAUCAGAAAGCCACGACUAACUACGUG